Molecule: long non-coding RNA, 3338 nt
Organism: Passer domesticus (house sparrow)
Lineage: Eukaryota; Metazoa; Chordata; Aves; Passeriformes; Passeridae
Exons: 2
Source: RefSeq, a predicted model, not a curated record
UAACUCUGGAGAAAAAAAAAAGAAAAUUUGAAAACUGCAACAGAGAUGAGUUAUGGCAUAAUUAGAAAUUAUUUUGCUUAUCUGCUUCUUCUCAAUUACUCAUAAAUCUACCCAAUGAAGCAUGAUCUUUAGGACCCAGAAGAUCAAUUCCAUGACACUUUGUGUGUGAGGUGAUGCAGUUAUGGGUUACAAGCUGUUUGUACUUGUACAAUGAUUUGCAUUCUAGUUCCUAAAUUUAGAGUAUCCCAUUUAAAUGUACUUGAAAAAAACAUUUCUGGUGCCCGUGGGCCUUAAGGAACUGACCUGAGCUACAGCUAAUGCCAAUACUGAGGUGCCUGGUAAAAUUUCAUCUGUCUUUCCAAGCAGAUAUACCCUAAAUGCCUGUGAGACUCAAACCCCAUUCACUGUAAAAUAAAAACUGAUUUCAUAAGCUAGUGAAUACACUGAGAAAAGGUCACUUCUUCAGUCUCCAUUCACGCAAACAACUCUUUAUUCAUGAAGAAUUCACACUGUUUUUAGUGGAAUAGGGACAACUGAGAACACUUACAUGAGCUAAGGCUUAUAAACUAAGACCCCAAGGAUUCUGGAGUCUCUGAUUCUUCUCUGUAAUUACGUAAUUCUUAAAUAAAAUAAAAAUACUAACAAGCCAGUAAAUGUUCUUAUGGUUACAGGAAUUUGGGAAUACCAUCAUGUAAACCCAAUGCUGUAAAGUCUGACUAAUUUCAGUCAGUUCAUCUACACUUGCCCUCCUUAACUUUAUACUGUCAUGGCCACUAUUCCUAAUAGUCCAGAUCACUCGGCAAUAAAUGGUUAGGUGCCUCCAGCAGAGGCCAUAUGAGCACCCAGCAGAGUGUAAGAAUUAGCUCAUGCCUUAUAGACACACUUUCAUGGUGUGAGAGUGGUGUUUGCCUCAUCUGCACCCACGUGACAGGGCUGAUUCAUGACCAGCCUCUGAUCAAUUCUGACCCAUUUUCUGCAGCACUGCUGUUGAAGGUGAUCAUUUCCUCAUGCUGGUACAGCAGAUCAUUCCUAAUUAAAUAAAAGGUCUUGCAUUUGUCCUUACAGCAUUGUAUCCUAUUGGAUACAAUUUCCUUCCAGACCAUUAGUUCUAUUUGUCGGGGUCACUUUGAGUUCUAAUCCUGCCCUUGGGUAAGCUUGUCUUAGCUGUGAGUUGUCUGCAAAACUAAAAAGUACAUUCACUAUUCUUUCAUUCAUAUCAAUCAUGAAAACACUGGGGACUCCUGACCUAGCACAGACAUCUCUGGAAAUCCAUUUGAUACGUUCUCCAAUUAGACAAUGAGAUUUACUCUCCAAAUACAGUUUUGCAACAAAUCUUAUCAUAUCUUUCAAACAGUGGCUUCCUCAGAGCCAUUUUUAGAAGUUACUUCCAGUUUGUAUGAGCCCAUAUAUGCAAAAGAAAACAAAAACUAUUUAAUAGUAGUGUUUCAAUAAAAUUUUGUGAAAUGAUGAUCAUGAUCAACUCUUCACUCUCAGUGAGUAGUCAAGCACAAUAGUGUCUCCUCCACUAAUAAUACAAGUUAGUAGAACAUAAUUCAGAUACCUUUGUGAUAUUUGUUGUCUUCGGUGUCACUUUUAUAGCAGUAUCCCAAAACAAGGACCACAUUCUUGAGACUCCCUUUUUCAAAGAAAUAAAAUGUCACAUCUUCAUUUCAAUGUGAAUUUUUUAAUUUAAGGACAGAAAGAGUAAAUGGCAUCAAGGCAUAAGAGCAUAAGAGGACAGAAAGCAGAGUUCAAUCAAUCAGACCCUUUAUUCAAAAUCAUUAACCAUGAAAAACCCAGACACAAAGACAAUAUAGUUCCCAUCUCCAUUUAAUGUCAGGGUUUAUCAGGGUUCCAAGGCAUAAGCACAGGAUCAGCCGACCAGCCUGCUGAACAAGCCCAAGAACAAAGCACCUUAUUAUACAGCACAGGCAGAGCUGGUGCAGUCACAGGGAACAGAUGGCACAGCAAAAGGACAGGCUGCAAGUGAAGUCCCAGUGCACAGCAAAACCUCCAGUUCAGGCAAAGGAAAGUCAGAGGAAGGUGAGGUAUGUUUGACUCAUAGGACUUUGCCAGCACUAUGACCUGGACUGUAGUGUAUGGAUUCUUCUGGUGCCAGAAAGGAAGAAACAGCCCGCAGAAUAAGAUCCUGAUGGCAAGGAGAAAACAUCCACAGCCUGCAACUGUGAUAUUUGCUAGCAGAAUUACAGUGCUGAAUUCACAACAGCUUCAGUGUUCAGUUGCUUGUUAUUUUUGGACAGCAAACACACUUUAAAUAACGCUGACAGGGAAACUCCAGAGUUUUUCCAAAACACAGUGGAAAGUGAUGGGAAUCCACAUAUUGUGCCACAAAGUACUUUUCAAACUAAUGAGUAUUUUGACUGUAUUCACCACAGCAGUACCACAGACUUGAGUCUAUAUGGCCUUUAUUACUUUUGGGAACAGUGCACAGGUGAAGGAACUUUUGACAGCCAAGGAGUGUCCCUUCCUCAUCUGCAUUCCUGUGGCUGUUUGUGGUCACCACUGAAACCUCACAACUCCUGUCUACCUACAGCAGCUCAAAACAACUGUCCCUGGUGACAGCAGCAGCACAUCUGUACAAGUCCACACCCCAAGUCCAGGUGUGUAGCACUUUACCAGCUCUGCUGUGAUCUGCCUGUGACCCAGAUCUAAAAGAACAAUUCCUGAAUGAGGAUGGAAGAAGAAAACUAGCCAAUAAGCAAUGAAAGAAAAAUUGUUAAAAUCCAGUAUAGUCCACAGGGAGAAAAGGCAGAAGCGUAACACUUGAGAUGGGGAAAGAACACAGAUAGACCAUGAGACAGAGGAUGGUGAGAGCUCUGCUGAAGCACAGCACAGGGAUGCAGGUAAGGUGGGGAGUUCACGUGCAGACCAGUGACAAGUCAGGGAAGAGCUGCUGAUUUACGUGGGCACAGGUAUUCAGCCUACUGGUGUUCUGUUUACACCCUAGAGUCUGACGCUGAUGGAAGACGACAGCCGUGGAGGACAAUGAAUGAACAAAUCCUGGAUAAUGCUAAUCUGUUCCUGGAACACCCUAACAAACAGUACAGAGCAAACCUAAACUUAGCAGUGAUUUCAAAGUACUCAUCACUUGAAGGUUUUACUCACCCAGCUGAGCUGUUAUCAUGACUCGAACAGAAUCACAGAACUUGUCUAUAACUCGUACAGGACGACGCGUUGACAAAUCAAGCAGCAGGAUAUGUCCUCCUCCUGUCCCUAUCCACAGGGCAGUAUUUUUCUGCAGACAAAUGGUCUUCACUCUUCCAGAAUAAGCCAGUUUGUGUUUUGAUUCCUUAUUUAAUUUUUCCACUUUGUUCCUA